Molecule: ribosomal RNA, 382 nt
Filed under: Gymnodiniaceae sp.
Lineage: Eukaryota; Dinophyceae; Gymnodiniales; Gymnodiniaceae
Description: partial small subunit ribosomal RNA
Rfam family: Eukaryotic small subunit ribosomal RNA
Source: RNAcentral
AUUCCAGCUCCAAUAGCGUAUAUUAAAGUUGUAGCGGUUAAAAAGCUCGUACUUGGAUUUCUGCUAGGGACGAUCGGUCCACCCACUGGGUGUGUAUUUGUGUCGGCCUUGGCAUCUUCCUGGCGAACGCAACUGCACUUGACUGUGUGGUGCGGUAUCCAGGACUUUUGCUUUGAGGAAAUUAGAGUGUUCCAAGCAGGCUCGCGCAUUGAAUACAUUAGCAUGGAAUAAUUAGAUUGGACCUGAGUUCUAUUUUUGUUGGUUUCUAGAGCUGAGGUAAUGAAUAAUGGAGAUAGCUGGGGGCAUUCGUGUCAGAGGUGAAAUUCUUGGACUUGUUCAAGACGGACAUCUGCGAAAGCAUUUGCCAAGGAUGGUUUCAUUA